UUAAAGUUUCGAAUUUGAUAACUCUUAUCAAAAUAUUAUUAUAACAUUCGUAUAAAAUUUUUGCAUAAAAUUAAAUUCUUUCUAAUUCUCUAUGGUUUGUUAUAAUAUUAUAUCAUAAGUAAUUUAACGAGUAAUCGAAUAUCGUAACAACUAGACAAUCGCCAAUAUUUUUGCGGAAUACAAGUUUCUGAAUUACAUAAAAUAUAUUACAUAAAGAAGAUAUCGGAUUGAUAUGUUGCAUUAACUAGAACACUAGAUUUGAUUACGUAACGGAACAGUCUUUUAUGCAAUAAAACGUAGCAAAUGGUAGCCUUUCUUUGUGGAGAAAGGAAUCCAUAUCGUUUAAUUUACUAGGAAUAACCGGAAUCUUCUACCCGGAAAGUAUUGCGUAUUUAGAACUGGAUUUUGUAACAAGUAAAAAGCAAGAAGCGAUUAAUUGUAAUCUAUAAUAAAUAUCCUUAUCAAAUAUCAAAUUAUUUUCGCGAUUCCUAAAAAAAAAAAAAAAAAUAGAAGAAAAAAUAUACAUGACAUUCAACAUAGCUUUUUUUUUAAAAAGGAGCAAAUCUAUAUAAAUGCAGUAAAAAAUUUCUUAUAUUUAUUAUAUUUAUAUAAUUUCUUCAAGAUGUUUUGAAUUCCAAAUGAAUCAUCAGCGGAUUUUCACCAACUGUGACGUAAAAGUAAAAUCUCAUUCUAUAAGAGCAACGACUUGUACAGGUUGUGAUUUUUCGACAGAAUGCAUCGGUACCGUGCACGAUGCGUGGACGUGCUGCAUUAUCUGAUUACACGCACACCUGUGAAAGGUUUCAUUACUUUCUAACAUUAAGCCAUUUUUAACGUCUCGUCGCGCCUUCUAAGUUUAUACAGACACACACACGCACAGUAUUCCAUUAUAAUGCGUCUCGAUCGAUCGUAGAUAGAUGACAGAGGAGUUUCAUUGGUGCCGAUCAUCGGGCUAGAAACUUCAAGGAGAAAUACUUUCACUGUCACACCGUGUUACCACUUGUGCAAUUAUCGCAAACUCUGACUAAGCCGAUUGCCAUACUUUUUUACUUCUUUCUUUUUUCUAUUAUAGAGUUCCCUGGAUUUAACAAGAAAAAUGAAUCGCUUGAAAUGAUUAGAAGAUGAUUGAAUAGAACGAUUUUAUCGCUUGGCAAGAUAACGUAAUACAUCGAGAACUUUAACAUAUUGUACAAGUUGAACGAUUAAGAUAAAAAUUGUUUAAAGCAAUUAAAAAAUUACUGAAGUAUCUGUCACUUAAGGGGUAAAGUAUAAGUCGUUGUUCUUCACGUAUUUGUGCAUUGAUAUUUGUGUAUUUCAGAUCUAUCGAAGGGACGAUAAUGGCAGAAAUAAAAGAAAAUUUUAUUCGAAAAAAUUAUUCAAAAGCUAUUUAGCGUUCUUUCCUUUUUAACGACUCGACUUUUUAGACAUUACGCAAUAUGAAUGUCUAAUUAAUUAUGAAAGGAAGAUGCAAUGGUCUCAACAAAUAACAAGUAUGUCGCUCAAACAUGAGUCGCUUGUUACCUUCUAGGAAUAAGAUUUAUUUGAAUAAUGACGUGUCUGUUACCGUUUUCUCAAUGCCAGUUUCGUUACGUCGAAGGCAUAAAACGAUGGGCGUUCACGCCAACGCUAAAAGUGCCGUGGUAUACGGCACCAGUUCUUGCGGGCCAUCUGGAUCAUAAGAAAGUGAUUCGGGAGCCUUUAUUCUAAAUGAUCGGAUGUUCGAUGGAAUAUUCGAAAUCGAGGAACAUUCUGACUCGAUAUCGAUGAGAUACAGAUACAAGAAUCAUCGUUGCAACGUGAAUUUGAAAUUCCGUAUACAUGUGUACAACAGCUAACGGUACAAUUGUUACGAAAAUAAAGAGGAUUGCAGAUUCGAAGGAAAGAGAAGCGUGCUAUUCAUACGCUAACCGAGAAAAGUAACUCGAAAAGAGAAAGGGAUGAUGAAGUCGACUUCAUGGUUUGCUGUGCAAUUUUGUUAAUAACAUUGUAAAAUUGCUGGCUACGGAAAAACUUUAAUCUGAUGCCAUUCACAUGGUAAAAGGCAACAAUUUCGAUCGGUAAAUUGGUAAAAAUCAUAGGCUUUUUAUCGCCAUCACUGAGUUGAAUGCAUUGAUCUGGAAGGAGUUAUAACAUACAUACAUGGUGCAAAUUAAUUUGUAAUUUUCAUGGAAAGAGCUCUGGUCUCGUCGCUUCUAAAGCGAGCCAUUUAAGGAAGAGGUAUAAAGAAUGAUUUAUAGUGGACAUUCUUAGACUUUCACCGACAUUAAAGAUUCAUCUGUCUGCAAGGGUCGACUUUCAUGCUCGUAGGAGUAACGUUACGUUCACUCACUUUGUUUUUUUCGUCGCGGUUGGCUACGUUUCCGUCUGUUAACGCUUUUCAUGGCUCGUGGAUCAUCAGUGACCCAUGAUAUUCUAGAUAGAAAUAGAACUUUCAUUGAACGGACAAAUAUGUUCUUCGUUAUACUCAAGUAAGAUAGAUGAGCGGAAAGAUCAACGUAUCAGAUGUAUUAAAAUGUUUACUUAGAGAACCUUACAUAGUGUAUAUAGUUAGAGAAAACUAAUGAUAUGAAACGUGUUAAGAUCUAACCAAUUAAGUAUUUGUCAUCUUGAAAUGAAAUUACUUUACAAUUUUACUUAAUAAUUAUUUAAAUCUAAGCACGUUUUAUUGUGCUCAUAAUGUAGUAUUCUCGCAUAUAUUAGUUUAUAAUAGUAUAUAACAUAAUAGCUUGUCAAUUUCAAUAACGCUAAUUAAAUAGGAACUUGAGAUAGAGAUAAUCAUAGCUCCUGUCGCUUGGUUGUCCGAUCAAUAAAUCUGCGAUCUGACAUUUCAAUAAACACGCGAUAUUCUCGCGAAAUAACACGUUAUCUAUUGUAUGGUUAAUCAAUGACGCAUGUCGCGUUUAGAAAAUUAGUCACUCGUCACAGGCUACGAUCACGAAUUGCACAUCGAGAGAAUAAUCGAAGGGUAACGAUCUCUCGGUUGGAAAGUCGCGAAGCUAGGGGGAACAACGGAGUGCAGUCAGCCUCUUUCUUUACGAAUUUUCAUUCUGGCCCCGCUUUCGUCGCCGAUGACCCAACCCAAGACCUACUUUCUGUAAUCAUCCUGUUUCGAAACGGGUACACUCGAACCAAUGUUCGUGACUGUGUAAAACUUAACUUCAAUGGGAACAUGCGCGGCUGCACUUAAAUAGACAUCACUUCUCGUUUUUUAUAUUUCGAUGUAUUCAUUCUGUCAUGCAUUCUGUCAUGAAUAAUGUUUAAUACGUGCAUAAGUUUUGUAAAGAAAUUUAUAAAACUUUGUAAAGACUCCCCUGUUCACGAAAAAUACGAUAUUUAUUGUAUCGCAUGUUUCAAAAAAUUCAUACAGUAAUGGUAAAAAAUGUAUCUCACAUUUGUCUUAUCUUUUUUUACAGAUUACAAAUUUCGUUCACAUUAUUUUCGUGUCACUCUGCAUACCUAUUGGCAAACCAGUCGUGCGUAGAAUGUGAUUAUGAAACGGAGUAAACAAUCAUCUAGCCGUCUUCUACUGGAAAUUUCAUAAUUUCACCCAAUUUCAUUAUCCUUGUUUCGAUAGGAUAUAAAUAAAAUGAAUGUUCUUAAUGCGUGAAUGACGUUCAAGACAUCGUACAUAAAUGUACCUACGACGACACCAUGUUCAGCAUUCGCCGCUAGCAACUCAUCAGCAAUUCGAUUAUUCAUCGGAAUCUAGGUCUGGAGCGAAAAAUACGGAGUAACCAGGCCACAGUCUGUGAAUCAGCAAGACGCUAUCUCCAGAUUGUUCUCUUAGAUCCUUUUCAACGAUCUCUAAUUAUAGAUUAUUGGAACGAUCGGCAAACGAGGAGAAUCAAGGACUAUGUUCUGCAUCAUUAACGAUUACCGUCGAUAAAUGGUCCAAACUCGUGACUUCACGGAAGAUUUCUGUGUGAUAAAAGCCGCCAACUUGCUUCCUAUUCGAUUUGUAUGGAUACUGUGUUCUUGAAACGUCGUUGUGUUUAUAUAUGUCUUAUGUUUGCCUAGCUAUACGCUACUAAUGUUUUUACCUUUGAAGAAUUACAAUUCGCACCUCGUGGACUCGAUACGCGAAAAAUUGACUUUGCUGCGAUAAAUAGGAUAGCAAUUAAUUAUAGAAAGACAACGUUAUUCUAAUAAGAGAUUAAAAAGUGGAAAGUAGUUUUUGUAAAAGGUAUCUUACGGUGAACGGUAGGUGAAGUCAAAGCUUAUCCGAACACGUAUACCCCAUAUAAAGAAAAGGCUGGAGGGCAGGUUGCAGGAUCGAUCGAAGAAGAAGAAACGAGUCUUCGCAGCACGAAGACUUUCACGCGAUGAUGGUCUUGUUAUUAUUUCCUAUUCUUCUGUUCGUGUAAGUGCGUUAUUCACCUAAAUUGUCACAUGACUGUGAAACUAAAAAUCGAUAAAAACGCCUAUCUUCUCGAUCAAUCCCUUUCUUAUUUUUUUAAACGAGGAAAAACGUACAUCUAUCCGCCUUUGUUUGUACUGUUGCAAACAUAUCACGACAUGGUGAAUAAUGCGAGAGGACAAGAUGGUAACGACAAUGGUAGGGUGAAAAGAGCGUGAUUUCAAGGACCUGAUUCCUCUAUCGCGAAUGGAAAGUCGAAGAAGCAGGAAUUGUCAAAUGAAACUGUGAUUUAUGCCCAUUUCUGCAAACUCGUUGGUAUGGUCGCUUCAUUUGCAAUUCUGAGAAUGGUUUUCAAGUCGAACGACUGACGAUCCGAGGCAAAGGAUGGAGAAAAUGUGGAACAAGUAACAAGAUACGUUUACGCGGUUUUCGAUUUUCUCUGUUGAUCAGUUUCCUCUUCAAAAGUAAUACUGACUCUUAGGCACACGUUAUGAAUGUGUGUGUUUUUUAAAAAUAUUUUCUAAGUGAUUUCAGUUUUGGCAAAAUGAUAAAAAUCGUUUUACUUUCGUGUCACGUAUACCGGGCCACGUCUGUCGUUUCAAAGAAUCGCCACGCCGUCAUCCUAACAUACGUUUCUAGGUAAGAAUAAUACUGUUUGUGGUAGCACGAUUGGAUAUUGUUGAUGCAAAGGAAAAAAGGGAAAAUAAUUUAUUCGAGUAAAAUCGAUUGAUUUGACAAAAUUAUCGUGGAUAAUAUUCUUUUUCUACAAUUUUUAUUAAAAUUGUAACGGCAAACAUGUAAUAGCUUUGGUGUACUUUAGAUUUUAAACUACUUUAAAUUGUGACGUUUUGUAAAAAAUGUUUUACCUUCACAGUAUGGCGCAGCUUGCUGUAGUUUUGGAACAACAGACAUACAGAAAUAUGUUAUGUUUCAUGAGAUUCAUUAUAAAAAAUUUCACCUACAUUGCUUAAUCACCAUUUAAAUAUUUUUAAAAAUUUUAGAACUAUCUUUCAGUAUCUGGCAUAGUUUAAUUAGCUUCGUUAGAAUUGGGAACCAAAUCCAUUUACCAAGCUUUCCUAAUAAACGCCUGACAAAAAACAUUAAACAUUGGUACCACGAUAUUAUUUCAUACUUCUAUGUGCGCGAGGGAGAUCUAAAUAUACAUAAUGCAGGGAACUACAUAAACCUUUCAAAUUCCAGAAACGUUCAUGAAGAAAGAAAAAAAAAAAUUAGAA
Molecule: long non-coding RNA, 5592 nt
Organism: Bombus pyrosoma
Lineage: Eukaryota; Metazoa; Arthropoda; Insecta; Hymenoptera; Apidae
Exons: 3
Source: RefSeq, a predicted model, not a curated record